AUGGAGACCAGAAGCGGGCGGCCGCUGAAGCGGGCGGCUGCGAGCUAGACUGAGCGGCACGCGGAACCGGAGCCCCGGAGAGCGUGCGGCGACCUGAGGCUGCCUCACCGGCUGACCAUUCCGGGUUCGGGGUAGGCCGACGUUCUUCAGGGAGCGUCCCCGCCCCGACGCGCGGGUCCCCGCCUCCCGCGGCCGCACCGCCCCCCGGCUCCGCCCGCUCAGCCCGGCUAACGGUCGGCGCGGCCUGCCACGAGGGAGCGUCCGCGGCCCGCGCAGAGCCGCGCACCAAGCCGAUGGCGUGGACGCAGUCGGGUCCCGCGGUCUGCGCGCGGGCAGGCGCGCGUGGGCGUGUCUCCCUGGCCCACGCGUGUCCCCGGCAUCAGUGUCUCGGCUCUGGUCCAGGACGAAGACUUCUGAAAGCGAGCCAAGAAGAAUCGCAGUUCUUAAUGGAGCCCCUGACUGCUGGGUAGAAGGUGGUGGUUCUGAAGACAGUGAGACUCAGCUACUGUUCCCCGGUUUCCUGAGAUCUGUUUCCAUCGAGAUGCAAAGGACACAGAGCUCACGGGUGCUCCUCACGGGUGUUCCAGCGAUGCUGGUGUCAUGUUUGGACUGCAGUCACUGCAAAGCUUCCCAAUAGAACAGUUCUUCCUGAGAAAUCUAUCAGUGCAGUUCAGACUCUGGAAGCAAAUGACCUCUCCGGGCAGAGCCUUCACCGUGUGGGGAACAUCAGAUUUGUGUAAGGAUUACCUAUCUCUUUUUAGGUAUGCACUGUUGAGAAGGUACUGCGAAGGCCACAGGUCACUCAGGAAAAUUUGGGGGAGUUUUCUAGGUUCAAUGGAGACUGGACAUCAAAGCUGCACUGGGACAUCUGGAUCCGUUGAUCCACUUUGGCCAUUCCACCUCAGCUCAGAAUUACCCACAUGGUGUCAGCACAGGAUGUCUCUUGGCUUCAGCCAUUCAGAUGAGCGAUGUCAGCAAGCUUCGCCACUGUCAAAGUACCUCUUUAAACCUUGAUGCUGAGUCGUGAAUACCUGCACUCCUACGGAAGAUGGGCGGCAGAGGCAGAAGUUCAUCUGGAAGCUUGAGAUCAGCCACCCAGACACUCAGAGCUGCAGACAAAAGAGAGGCCCUGCAGCAAAGGAGUGGAAGGUGAGAACCAACUCCAGAAAGUUACCCUCUGACCUUUACAAGUGUAUAUGUCCACAUACAUACAAUAAAGUCAAAUGCUCAAUU
This 1233-nucleotide long non-coding RNA is filed under the name Mus pahari (shrew mouse). RNAcentral describes it as "lncRNA (MGP_PahariEiJ_G0005173.1)". Lineage: Eukaryota; Metazoa; Chordata; Mammalia; Rodentia; Muridae. The record is from RNAcentral.